UACGGGGGGAGCAAGCGUUGUUCGGAUUUACUGGGCGUAAAGGGCGCGUAGGCGGCCACCGCAAGUCGAUUGUGAAAUCUCCGGGCUUAACCCGGAAAGGUCAACCGAUACUGCGGGGCUAGAGUGCAGAAGGGGCAACUGGAAUUCUCGGUGUAGCGGUGAAAUGCGUAGAUAUCGAGAGGAACACCUGCGGCGAAGGCGGGUUGCUGGGCUGACACUGACGCUGAGGCGCGCAAGCUAGGGGAGCGAACGGG
Molecule: ribosomal RNA, 254 nt
Filed under: uncultured bacterium
Lineage: Bacteria
Description: partial 16S ribosomal RNA
Rfam family: Bacterial small subunit ribosomal RNA
Source: RNAcentral